Molecule: ribosomal RNA, 459 nt
Filed under: uncultured bacterium
Lineage: Bacteria
Description: partial 16S ribosomal RNA
Rfam family: Bacterial small subunit ribosomal RNA
Source: RNAcentral
CCUACGGGCGGCAGCAGUGAGGAAUAUUGGUCAAUGGGCGCGAGCCUGAACCAGCCAAGUCGCGUGAGGGAAGACGGUCCUAUGGAUUGUAAACCUCUUUUGUCGGGGAGCAAAAGACGCCACGCGUGGCGUUCCGAGAGUACCCGAAGAAAAAGCAUCGGCUAACUCCGUGCCAGCAGCCGCGGUAAUACGGAGUAUGCGAGCGUUAUCCGGAUUUAUUGGGUUAAAAGGGUGCGCAGGCGGAAGAUCAAGUCAGCGGUAAAAUUGAGAGGCUCAACCUCUUCGAGCAGUUGAAACUGGUUGUCUUGAGUGAGUGAGAGGUAUGCGGAAUGCGUGGUGUAGCGGUGAAAUGCAUAGAUAUCACGCAGAACUCCGAUUGCGAAGGCAGCAUACCGGCGCUCAACUGACGCUCAUGCACGAAAGUGUGGGGAUCGAACAGGAUUAGAUACCCGAGUAGUC